UCUUCCCUCUUUCGUCGUGCCUAAUACAUGCAAGUCGAGCGAACAGACGAGGAGCUUGCUCCUCUGACGUUAGCGGCGGACGGGUGAGUAACACGUGGAUAACCUACCUAUAAGACUGGGAUAACUUCGGGAAACCGGAGCUAAUACCGGAUAAUAUAUUGAACCGCAUGGUUCAAUAGUGAAAGACGGUUUUGCUGUCACUUAUAGAUGGAUCCGCGCCGCAUUAGCUAGUUGGUAAGGUAACGGCUUACCAAGGCAACGAUGCGUAGCCGACCUGAGAGGGUGAUCGGCCACACUGGAACUGAGACACGGUCCAGACUCCUACGGGAGGCAGCAGUAGGGAAUCUUCCGCAAUGGGCGAAAGCCUGACGGAGCAACGCCGCGUGAGUGAUGAAGGUCUUCGGAUCGUAAAACUCUGUUAUUAGGGAAGAACAAAUGUGUAAGUAACUAUGCACGUCUUGACGGUACCUAAUCAGAAAGCCACGGCUAACUACGUG
This 497-nucleotide ribosomal RNA is filed under the name uncultured bacterium. Its description in RNAcentral is "partial 16S ribosomal RNA". It matches the Rfam family "Bacterial small subunit ribosomal RNA", at positions 36 to 507 of the family's 1533-position model. The record is from RNAcentral.